RNAcentral lists this ribosomal RNA (113 nucleotides) under uncultured bacterium. RNAcentral's name for it is "partial 16S ribosomal RNA". It matches the Rfam family "Bacterial small subunit ribosomal RNA", at positions 1360 to 1482 of the family's 1533-position model. The record is from RNAcentral.
CGGUGAAUACGUUCCCGGACCUGCACACACCGCCCGUCAAGCCAUGGAAGCUGGGUGUACCUAAAGUCGGUAACCGUAAGGAGCCGCCUAGGGUAAAACUAGUGACUGGGGCU